CUGAGUUAUCUAACUCCCAAACCUUUGUGAACAUACCAUUGUUGCUUCGGCGGACUCGUCCCGGGCGCGCUCUCGAGCGUGAUCCGGAGCCAGGCGGCCGCCGAGGGUAUCAAACUCUUGUUUUUAUAGUGGACUUCUGAGUAUCAUGAGUAAAUAAAUCA
RNAcentral lists this unclassified non-coding RNA (161 nucleotides) under uncultured Beauveria. RNAcentral's name for it is "sequence contains ITS1". The record is from RNAcentral. Lineage: Eukaryota; Fungi; Ascomycota; Sordariomycetes; Hypocreales; Cordycipitaceae.